This 1213-nucleotide long non-coding RNA is filed under the name Nicotiana benthamiana. RNAcentral's name for it is "long non-coding RNA (NBEN_LNC007909)". Lineage: Eukaryota; Viridiplantae; Streptophyta; Magnoliopsida; Solanales; Solanaceae. The record is from RNAcentral.
CUUAAAGAACUUAUCCUGUAGGUAAGUAUUGGAGGUGCCUAGUUUAGCUUUUAGCCUAGAAAAUUGUAAUCUGACCAAAAAAAAAAAUUUGAUUCUAUUUGAUCCCAAAACCUACUAUUAUCCCAAUUCUAGAAAAAAAUCAACUUAACAACAAAGUAUUCCAAACUUUCUCAUCAAAAAUAUAGAAACAUACCCAUACAAACACAUGAAAAUGGGGCAAUGGCAAACGAAAAUUGUCUUUGAAUGAUUAAUAAACAAUCCAAUUCAAAGCGUUCGUAGAAGAACUGAUCGAAACAAACUCACCCCUACUGAUUACUGUCACUGACUAACAAUCACAAAACCAAGCAAAAACUCAGUUAGACAAUAGACUAUCCAGCAGAUUGAGAAUGUUGCAAACCAAAGUGGAAAAUUCUAUAUUUAAAAUUGUGGUGAUUUUCUUCUUAAGCAGUGCAGAAAUAGGGCAAGUCAUCAGCAUGCCUAAUAGUUCAAACAAUUUCCAACCUACUGCAUGUAUCAUCUCGAUUAGCAACUGCAAAUAGACGUUAAAAUAAACCAACACACGAGUACCCAAGUUUUAGUUCAAAAUUGGCCUAAGAAAAUCAGUGGCGGAAUUGACAUGCUGGAAACAUGAACAUUCACUUAAUCUCCUCAAACAUGGUGAACCACAAAGAACAAAUAUUAUCAAUUGGGAACUUCAACAGAUUCAGCCGAACAAUUAAUGUGAAGAUGAUUAUAAGAUCAUAGAAAAGGGAAUUUUUUUUGUUUCUGUUUUCUUUUCUUUUGAAAAAAAUGUAGACUAGAGCUGGCACACACACGAAUAAAGUUUCAGCCAAAACAACCAUGAGAGACUCCUUCAAAUCACAUUAUAAUCUCGGGGCAGAACAUAACAAACGCACCACCUAUGACUCAAGGGUUGCAACAGAAGGAUAAGUUCAAACACUACGUCUCAGCAAGACAAACUUUCGAAUGCUCGACCUAAUCGACUAAUGAACAAAAGACUCUGACCUCCUUCUCAUGAGAGCUUAUUCAAAUAGAAACCAACAACACCUCAAAUGCACCGCUUCAUGCUUACACCAUCACGUUCAGAAUCAAGCAAAACCAUGAUUCAAAUUCCUUGUUUUAGAGCAGCUUACUAACAGAUUAAACAACCACAACAGGACAACUGUGCAAACAAUAAGCGAACCAGUCGACUUGAAAUAAGAGUAGUGUGAAA